Molecule: non-coding RNA, 30 nt
Filed under: Homo sapiens (human)
Lineage: Eukaryota; Metazoa; Chordata; Mammalia; Primates; Hominidae
Source: RNAcentral
GUCCCCUGUUUUGUGAUGUAGGAUGUGGUC